GUAGCAAUACAUCACCGGCGGACGGGUGCGUAACACGUGGGAAUAUACCUUUUGGUUCGGAACAACGCAGGGAAACUUGCGCUAAUACCGAAUGUGCCCUUACGGGGAAAGAUUUAUCGCCAAAGGAUUAGCCCGCGUCCGAUUAGCUAGUUGGUGAGGUAAUGGCUCACCAAGGCUCCGAUCGGUAGCUGUUCUGAGAGGAAGAUCAGCCACACUGGGACUGAGACACGGCCCAGACUCCUACGGGAGGCAGCAGUUGGGAAUCUUGGACAAUGGGGGAAACCCUGAUCCAGCCAUGCCGCGUGAGUGAUGAAGGCCUUCGGG
RNAcentral lists this ribosomal RNA (324 nucleotides) under uncultured bacterium. RNAcentral describes it as "bacterial SSU rRNA". It matches the Rfam family "Bacterial small subunit ribosomal RNA", at positions 72 to 422 of the family's 1533-position model. The record is from RNAcentral.